UUUAUUGGAGAGUUUGAUCCUGGCUCAGGAUGAACGCUGGCGGCGUGCCUAAUACAUGCAAGUCGAGCGAAUGGAUUAAGAGCUUGCUCUUAUGAAGUUAGCGGCGGACGGGUGAGUAACACGUGGGUAACCUGCCCAUAAGACUGGGAUAACUCCGGGAAACCGGGGCUAAUACCGGAUAACAUUUUGAACCGCAUGGUUCGAAAUUGAAAGGCGGCUUCGGCUGUCACUUAUGGAUGGACCCGCGUCGCAUUAGCUAGUUGGUGAGGUAACGGCUCACCAAGGCAACGAUGCGUAGCCGACCUGAGAGGGUGAUCGGC
This 320-nucleotide ribosomal RNA is filed under the name Bacillus cereus. Its description in RNAcentral is "bacterial SSU rRNA". It matches the Rfam family "Bacterial small subunit ribosomal RNA", at positions 1 to 308 of the family's 1533-position model. Lineage: Bacteria; Bacillati; Bacillota; Bacilli; Caryophanales; Bacillaceae. RNAcentral also lists the same sequence under 1 other name. The record is from RNAcentral.